Molecule: transfer RNA, 72 nt
Filed under: Stegodyphus mimosarum
Lineage: Eukaryota; Metazoa; Arthropoda; Arachnida; Araneae; Eresidae
Rfam family: tRNA
About the family: Transfer RNA (tRNA) molecules are approximately 80 nucleotides in length.
Source: Rfam by way of RNAcentral
GCCUUCGUGGUGUAGUGGUCAGCACGCUCGACGCGUAUUCGAGAGGUCCGUGGUUCGAGUCCCGCUAGGGCA